This 423-nucleotide ribosomal RNA is filed under the name Triticum aestivum (bread wheat). RNAcentral describes it as "partial small subunit ribosomal RNA". The record is from RNAcentral. Lineage: Eukaryota; Viridiplantae; Streptophyta; Magnoliopsida; Poales; Poaceae.
AUGUGCUCCAAGGCGGCGCCUUCAAGAAGGGUACGACACCGGAGCGCCGCCACCGCCCAAUCCAAAGAUCAGAGUUUCCCCUGGAGCCGCAUGACGGGCAAUGAGACGCCUUCAAGAAGGGAACGAUCUACACUGCCACCGGUCCGUCGGAAGAUAGAACAGGUUUUCACCUCGGCCAACACUCACCGCCACCGAACGCCACACCCCGGCAACCACGCCGCCCACACGGCCAUGGUGACCGGGCAACACCAAGGCACGGGCUCCGCCCAAGAGCACCGUGCUACCACCACCAGGGCCGCCGCCCCGGCAUCCAAGACCUUGACACCAUCUCACCCGAGACCCACCGCAACCCCAACGAAAGAGACGAGUGGAAAGGUCCCACCUUUCGCACCCCUGGGCGACCCCAGCGUCGAGGCCCAAUAG